RNA transcript from Fragaria vesca subsp. vesca, 7107 nucleotides. It is a transcript of the gene named pre-mRNA-processing-splicing factor 8-like, with no coding region annotated. The record is from RefSeq and is a predicted model, not a curated record. The transcript has 3 exons. Lineage: Eukaryota; Viridiplantae; Streptophyta; Magnoliopsida; Rosales; Rosaceae.
AUGUGGAACAACACCGAAAUUCCACCGCCGGCGACGACCUGCGAAUCCACGAUUCCACCACCGGCCGAUCUGGACGAGAAGGCCCGCAGAUGGCAGCAGCUCUCCUCCCGCAAGUGGUCAUCCACCCGCCACGGCGAACGGCGCGUCGUCGAUUCGCGAAAGGAGGACAUGCCGCCGGAGCACGUGAGGAAGAUCAUCAAAGAGCACGGCGACAUGUCGUCCAGGAAGUACCGGCACGACAAGCGCGUCUACCUCGGCGCUCUCAAGUUCAUCCCUCACGCCGUGUACAAGCUCCUGGAGAAUAUGCCGGUGCCGUGGGAGCAGGUCCGUAACGUGAAGGUGCUGUACCAUAUCACCGGAGCGAUUACAUUCGUGAACGAGACGCCGCUGGUUGUGGAGCCGAUCUACAUGGCGCAGUGGGCCACAAUGUGGAUCAUGAUGCGGAGGGAGAAGAGGGAUCGCCGGCAAUUCAAGAGAAUGAGGUUUCCGGCGUUCGAUGACGAGGAGCCUGUGCUGGAUUAUGCUGAUAAUUUGCUAGAUGUUGAGCCGCUCGAGGCGAUUCAGCUUGAGCUGGACAAGGAUGAGGAUUCUGCUGUGUAUGACUGGUUUUAUGACCAUAAGCCUCUAGUGAAGACCAGGAUGGUGAAUGGGCCGGGUUACAGGAAGUGGCAGCUCUCGCUGCCGAUUAUGGAGGCUCUUUACAGGCUUUCUGGACAGGUAAUUUCCAAUUUGACUGACAGGAACUAUUUCUAUUUGUUUGAUAAAGAGUCGUUUCUGACAGCCAAGGCAUUGAAUAUUUGUAUACCAGGUGGGCCAAAAUUCGAGCCGUUGUUUAGGGAUACGGAGACAGGGGAGGAGGAUUGGAAUGAGUUUAAUGACAUAAACAAGCUCAUUAUUCGGUCUCCGCUGAGAUCAGAGUACAGGAUUGCAUUCCCUAGUCUUUACAAUAGCCGGCCCAGGAAGGUAAAGCUCUCUGUUUAUCACACACCUAUGGUUAUGCAUAUUAAAUCUGAGGAUCCUGAUCUGCCUGCAUUUUAUUAUGAUCCAUUGCUAAACACAAUACCUAGCACUAACCGGAACAGUUAUGAUAGUUGUGAGGAAGAUGAUGAAUUUGUUUUGCCUGAAGGGGUGGAGCCUCUUUUGAGUCAUACUGAGCUUUAUACUGAUACCACUGCUGCUGGGAUUUCCCUGUUUUUUGCACCAUGCCCUUUUAACAUGAGGUCUGGGAGGACUCGUCGGGCACAGGAUAUUCCUCUUGUGUCAGAGUGGUUUAAGGAGCAUUGUCCUCAGUCUUAUCCAGUUAAAGUUCGAGUCAGCUAUCAGAAGUUGUUGAAAUCUUUUGUGUUGAAUGAGGUGCAUCGUAGGCCUCCCAAGGCACACACGAAGAAGGACUUGUUUCGUUCUCUUCAGGCUACUAAGUUUUUCCAGACUACUGAGCUUGAUUGGGUUGAAGCGGGUCUUCAAGUCUGUAAGCAGGGUCAUAACAUGCUGAAUCUGUUGAUACAUAGGAAAGGUCUGAACUACCUUCACCUUGAUUAUAAUUUUAAUCUCAAGCCUGUGAAAACCCUGACAACAAAAGAGCGCAAGAAAUCUCGGUUUCGUAAUGCUUUUCAUCUGUUGCGUGAAAUCUUGCGGUUGACAAAGCUUGUAGUUGAUGCUCAGGUCCAGUUCCGUUUGGGUAAUGUUGAUGCCUUUCAACUGGCUGAUGGUCUGCAGUACAUGUUUUCUCAUGUUGGUCAGUUAACUGGAAUGUACCGUUACAAGUACAGGUUGAUGCGGCAGAUUAGAAUGACCAAAGAUUUGAAGCACUUGAUUUACUACCGUUUCAAGACUGGGCCGGUCGGAAAAGGGCCGGGAUGUGGAUUCUGGGCACCAAUGUGGAGGGUGUGGCUGUUCUUCCUUCGUGGCAUAGUCCCUCUUCUGGAACGGUGGUUGGGAGGUUUACUUGCUAGACAAUUUGUAGGGCGACAUUCUGUGGCAAAGAGAGUAACUAAGCAGCGUGUCGAAAGCAAUUUUGAACUGGAGUAUCGAGCAGCUGUCUUGAAAGAUAUUCUGGAUGCGAUGCCAGCGGGCAUGAAGCAAAAUAAGGCGAAAACAAUUAUGCAGCAUCUCAGUGAGGCAUGGCGUUGUUGGAAAGCAAAUAUUCCAUGGAAGGUUCCUGGUAUGCCUGCUCCCGUUGAGAAUAUAAUUCUUCGUUAUGUCAAGGCAAAGGCAGAUUGGUGGACACAUGGUGCUCAUUAUAACCGUGAACGUAUUAAAAGAGGUGCUACAGUGGAUAAGACAGUUUGUCGAAAGAAUCUCGGAAGAUUAACUCGCCUUUGGCUAAAGGGAGAGCAGGAGCGACAACACAAUUAUCUCAAAGAUGGUCCAUAUAUUUCAACAGAAGCAGUGUCAAUUUACACAACUACUGUGCUUGGUUGGAGUCAAGAAACUUCCAACAUAUUCCAUUUCCUCCUCUGUCAUAUAAGCAUGAUACCAAACUCCUUAUCCUUGCUCUGGAGAGGUUGAAGGAAUCUUAUACUGGAGCAGUAAAAUUGAACCAGCAUCAAAGAGAGGAGUUGGGUCUCAUUGAACAAGCCUAUGAUAACCCCCAUGAGGCGUUGAUACGGAUAAAACGUCACUUGAUAUCACAGCGUGCCUUCAAAGAUGUGAGCAUAGAGUUCAUGGAUCUGUACAGCCAUCAUAUUCCAGUUUUUGAGAUUGAUCCUCUUGAGAAGAUUACAGAUGCAUAUCUUGAUCAAUAUCUGUGGUAUGAGGCUGACAAACGUCAGCUCUUCCCAAACUGGAUCAAGCCUGCAGACUCAGAGCCACCCCCACUUUUGGUCUACAAAUGGUGUCAGGGAAUAAACAAUCUAGAGAAUAUAUGGGACACAAGUGAGGGGGAGUGUGUGGUGAUGCUUCAGACAAUGCUUGAGAGAUUUUCUGAAAAGAUUGACUUGACACUGCUAAAUAAGCUUCUACGUCUUGUUCUUGACAACAACCUUGCUGAUUACAUCACUGCAAAAAACAAUGUCUUAUUGUCUUACAAAGAUAUGAGUCAUACAAAUUCCUAUGGUCUCAUGUGGUCUGCAGAUUGCGUCAUUUGUUUUACAGUAUUAUGGGCUGGUUUUGGAUCUAAUGCUUCUUGGAUUGACUCAGGCCAGUGAAAUUGCAGGUCCACGGCUGAAGCCGAAUGAGUUCAUGACUUAUGGGGACACAAAGGUUGAGACUCACCAUCCUAUCAAGGUGUACUCUCGAUACAUAGACAGGGUGCAUAUCUUAUUCCGCUUCACUCACGAAGAGGCUAGGGACCUUAUCCAGCGAUAUCUUACUGAGCAUCCAGAUCCGAAUAAUGAAAAUAUGGUUGGAUAUAAUAAUAAGAAGUGCUGGCCAAGAGAUGCAAGGAUGAGGCUCCUGAAACAUGAUGUCAAUCUUGGAAGGAGUGUCUUUUGGAAUGUCAAGAACCGUCUCCCUCGAAGCAUAACAAGUUUGGAAUGGGACAACAGCUUGGUUUCUGUUUACAGCAAGGAAAAUCCAAAUUUACACUUCAGCAUGUGUGGAUUUGAAGUGAGAAUACUUCCCAAGAUAAGAAUGAGUACGAAGGAACACCAAAGAGAUGGAGUUUGGAACUUGCAGAAUGAACAGACAAAGGAAAGGACUGCUGUUGCUUUUCUACGUGUUGAUGAUGAAUACAUGAAGGCAUUUGAGAAUCGUGUAAGGCAGAUCCUCAUGUCCUCAGGGUCUACAACCUUCACAAAAGUUAUCAACAAAUGGAAUACAGCCCUUAUUGGUCUUAUGACUUACUUCCGUGAAGCAGUUGUGCAUACACCAGAGCUGUUAGAUUUACUGGUCAAAUGUGAAAAUAAAAUUCAGACCCGCAUUAAGAUUGGAUUGAAUUCCAAGAUGCCAAGCAGAUUUCCACCUGUCAUUUUUUACACUCCAAAAGAAAUUGGAGGACUUGGCAUGUUAUCUAUGGGUCACAUAUUGAUUCCACAGAGUGACCUCAGAUACUCUCGGCAGACGGAAAUUGGUGUGACACACUUUAGGAGUGGAAUGAGUCAUGAAGAGGAGCAGCUGAUUCCAAAUCUUUACCGUUACAUACAACCAUGGGAGAGUGAGUUUGUAGAUUCACAGCGUGUUUGGGCAGAAUAUGCACUAAAAAGGAAGGAAGCUCUGGCACAAAAUCGGCGUCUUACCCUUGAAGAUUUGGAAGAUUCAUGGGAUAGGGGAAUACCACGCAUAAAUACAUUGUUCCAGAAGGAUCGACACACUUUAGCAUAUGACAAAGAGUGGAGAGUCCGCACAGAUUUUAAGAAGUACCAAAUCUUGAAGCAAAAUCCUUUCUGGUGGACACACCAAAAGCAUGAUGGGAAAUUAUGGAAUCUCAACAAUUAUAGAACUGAUGUGAUCCAAGCUCUUGGAGGAGUUGAGGGAAUACUUGAACACACCUUAUUCAAAGGUACAUACUUCCCUACUUGGGAGGGUCUCUUCUGGGAAAAGGCAUCUGGAUUUGAGGAAUCGAUGAAGUAUAAAAAGUUGACAAAUGCUCAAAGAUCUGGCCUCAACCAAAUCCCCAAUCGUAGGUUCACACUUUGGUGGUCGCCUACCAUAAAUCGAGCCAAUGUCUAUGUCGGUUUUCAAGUGCAGCUGGAUCUAACUGGAAUAUUUAUGCAUGGGAAGAUCCCAACCUUGAAGAUAUCACUGAUUCAGAUAUUCCGUGCACACUUGUGGCAGAAGAUUCAUGAAAGUGUUGUGAUGGAUCUUUGUCAGGUUUUGGAUCAGGAAUUGGAUGCUUUGGAAAUUGAGACUGUGCAGAAGGAAACCAUACAUCCCAGGAAGAGUUACAAAAUGAACAGCUCUUGUGCAGACAUUCUUCUCUUUUCUGCUCAUAAAUGGCAAAUGUCAAAACCUAGUCUUGUGGCUGAGCCAAAGGACGAGUAUGAUCAGAAAACAAGCAGUAAGUACUGGAUAGAUGUGCAACUCCGUUGGGGAGAUUAUGAUUCUCAUGAUAUUGAACGUUACACCAGGGCGAAGUUUAUGGACUAUACGACUGAUAACAUGUCUAUCUAUCCUUCUCCGACAGUAGUGAUGAUUGGAAUUGAUUUAGCUUAUAAUGUGCAUUCUGCCUUUGGUAACUGGUUUCCUGGAUCAAAACCACUGAUUCAACAGGCAAUGAACAAGAUCAUGAAGUCAAAUCCAGCAUUAUAUGUGUUGAGGGAGCGUAUAAGGAAAGGAUUGCAGUUGUAUUCCUCUGAGCCUACAGAGCCAUAUUUGUCUUCCCAAAACUAUGGGGAGCUCUUCAGCAAUCAAAUUAAAUGGUUUGUUGAUGAUACAAAUGUGUAUCGUGUUACAAUGCACAAGACUUUUGACGGAAAUCUUGUUACAAAACCAAUCAAUGGUGCUAUUUUCAUGUUCAAUCCAGGGACUGGGCAGCUGUUCUUGAAGGUUAUCCACACGAGUGUGUGUGGGCAGGACAGAAGCAACUUGGGCAGUUGGCUAAGUGGAAAACUGCAGAAGAAGUUGCUGCUCUUGUGCGUUCUCUACCUGUUGAAGAACAGCCAAAGCACAUUAUUGUGACUCGUAAGGGAAUGCUCGACCCAUUGGAGGUUCACUUGCUGGAUUUCCCAAACAUAAUUAUAAAAGGAAGUGAACUGCAGCUUCCAUUCCAGGUUUGCUUGAAAAUUGAGAAGUUGAAUGAUCUGGUACUAAAGGCUACUGAGCCACAGAUGGUUCUUUUUAAUGUCUACGAUGAUUGGUUGAAGAGUGUUUCAUCAUAUACUGCAUUCUCUCGGCUCAUUCUGAUUCUUCGGGCACUACAUGUGAACAGAGACAAAGCAAGUAUGUUGUUGAAGCCUGACCGUACAGUCAUUAGUGAGCCACACCACAUUUGGCCUUCUCUUUCUGAUGAGCAAUGGAUGAAGGUUGAGCGUGCUCUAACAGAUCUCAUACUGUCAGACUAUGGUAAAAAGAAUAAUGUGAGUACAUCAGCCCUCACACAGUCUGAGAUUCGUGAUAUAAUACUUGGAGCAGAGAUUACUCCACCGUCUCAACAGAGGCAAGAGAUAGCCGAGAUUGAGAAACAGGCUAGAGAAGCAAGUCAGCUGACAGCACUCACCACAAGGACCACAAAUGUGCAUGGAGAUGAGCUUAUUUCCACCACUACUAGUCAAUAUGAGCAAGCUUCAUUCAGGUCCAAAACUGAUUGGCGUGUGAGAGCAGUAUCAGCCACAAAUCUACAUCUUCGUGUCAACCAUAUAUAUGUGAGUUCAGAAGAUACAAAGGAAGCGAGUUACACAUACAUCAUGCCAAUGAACAUUUUGAAAAAGUUUAUCUGUGUUUCUGAUCUGAGGACACAAAUUGCUGGUUACUUGUAUGGUAUAAGCCCACCUGACAACCCUCAGGUUAAGGAAAUCCGCUGCAUUGUGAUGCCACCACAGUGGGGCACCCAUCAGCAAGUUCAUCUUCCAUCAACUCUUCCUGAGCAUGAUUUUCUCAAUUGUUUGGAACCUCUGGGAUGGAUGCACACCCAGCCAAAUGAACAACCUCAGCUUUCUCCUGAGGAUUUGACAGCUCAUACUAACAUGUUGGAGAAUUCAAAGCAGUGGGAUAGGGAGAAAUGCAUUAUUAUGACCUGUGCUUUUACUCCAGGUUCCUGCUCGUUAACUGCGUAUAAAGUUACUCCAUCUGGUUAUGAGUGGGGAUGUUAUUCUAAUAAGAACACCGGAAGAAACAGUAAUCCACUAGGUGGAUACCUUCCAACUCACUAUCAGAAGGUCCAGAUGCUUCUCACUGACCGCUUCCUUGGUUUCUACAUGAUUCCUGAUGAUUGUCCAUGGAACUUCAAUUUCAUGGGAGUGAGGCAUGUGACAUGAAGUAUGGCGUCAAGCUUGGACCACCCAAGGAGUACUAUCACGAGGAACACCGACCAACCCAUUUCAUGGAGUUCAGCGAACUAGAUAAGGAUGAUCCAAUGGAGCUAGAUCGAGAUGAUUCCUACGCAUAGUCUUCUUCGUUUUUCCUGCCGACAAACUUCUUGCAUACAUGAUGCCAGGCAACAUGGGACUCAAAAUUUAAGGGCAUGAUUUGCAUCCUUCAACUGAUAAACAAAGGCCACAGCAAAAACUUGUU